Molecule: ribosomal RNA, 296 nt
Filed under: Leptalpheus corderoae
Lineage: Eukaryota; Metazoa; Arthropoda; Malacostraca; Decapoda; Alpheidae
Description: partial small subunit ribosomal RNA
Source: RNAcentral
GUACUUGGAGUAGUAAACAGAUAUGAUCUCGAAACUUAAAGAAUUUGGCGGUACCUAAGUCUAGUUAGAGGAACCUGUGCUAUGAACGAUAAACCACGAAUAUCUUACUUUAUCUGGAAGCUGUCAGUUCGUAUACCGCCAUUAUAGGCAAUCUUUGAAAAGGUUUGUUAAGAUAAAUUAGCAUUUAGUAUAUUAGGUCAAGGUGCGGCCAAUGGUAAAGUAGUUAUGGGUUACAUUAACACUAGUGAGUACGGACUAAUCUUAUAAAUUAGGAUUGUGAAGGUGGAUUUAAUGGU